Molecule: transfer RNA, 73 nt
Filed under: Felis catus (domestic cat)
Lineage: Eukaryota; Metazoa; Chordata; Mammalia; Carnivora; Felidae
Also listed under: 4 other names
Rfam family: tRNA
About the family: Transfer RNA (tRNA) molecules are approximately 80 nucleotides in length. Their secondary structure includes four short double-helical elements and three loops (D, anti-codon, and T loops). Further hydrogen bonds mediate the characteristic L-shaped molecular structure. tRNAs have two regions of fundamental functional importance: the anti-codon, which is responsible for specific mRNA codon recognition, and the 3' end, to which the tRNAs corresponding amino acid is attached (by aminoacyl-tRNA synthetases). tRNAs cope with the degeneracy of the genetic code in two manners: having more than one tRNA (with a specific anti-codon) for a particular amino acid; and 'wobble' base-pairing, i.e. permitting non-standard base-pairing at the 3rd anti-codon position.
Source: Rfam by way of RNAcentral
ACCUGGCUGGCUCAGUCAAUAGAGCAUCCGACUCUUAAUCCCGGGGUUGUGAGUUCAAGUCUCGUGUUGGGCA